GCCCGAGAGGGAAUUCAAACCAAGUUGUCGGUGGAUGGGCCCAGGGACUGAUGCCGCCUUGACGGGCGUCCCCGGGACCAGGGGACAGGACACGGGGCUGCAGGAUUGGUGUUUGUGUGACUUCAUCUCAUGAUGAGCCGUGAGGGCGGAGGCGCGAGGCCUGAGCCGUGGCCUCUGGGGAGGAGCCGCGCCAGCCCCCCGGCCCCCUCCUCCAGAGGCUUUGCUAAAUCCACUGCUCAGAGGGUCACCCUUCCUGCCGUGACGUCCUCGCACCAUCAGGGCCCCUCUUAGCCGGCAAGCACGUCUGCUCUAAGGUUCUCAUGGGUAUUGUGGCGUCCAUCCCUCCCGCCUCCCAGAUGUGUGCUUAACCUGGGACCCCGCUGGAGACAGAUCAUUGAUUCCAAGGGGACGUUCAGUUUACACGCCUGCAUUACUGAGGACCAUCCCUGCGGGCAGAAACCCCCCAUUCUUCCUCCGGCCCCCACCGCGGUCUUCUCCCCAGCUCCCAGCUGACGCCUGAGCACGCUGAGGCUCUACGGAGACCUUUUGCUUCUGGGUGACAGAUGACUCUCUCCUCCUCUGGCCCAGGGAGGGGGCCCGCCGCUUAAUGUUACCAAAUGUGCCAGAAGGGGCGAAAGCUCCCUAAUUCAUCUGUGCACUUCGAGGAGAACGAGAGUGGUGAACACGCAGCGGUUCGUGGAAUAAACCUAAGUACGGUGGUUUGCAAUACGGAUUUUCCCGUCCGAGUUCUUCGAAUCUGCUCCGUCAGCACAUUCGGGCUCUGUGUCCAGAGAUACAGCAGAUGAACAGCAUCACCCCCAGCCCCGCUCAGGGUGCGCGUAGGGCCUCGGUUUGUCUCGGAAGGUCGGGCUGAGGGUUGUAGGGAGCAGCCUCCGGAUGGACGGGUGUGCUCGGAGAGAUGCCCGCCGGCUUCCUGCUGUCUUGAGGACGGAGCCUAGCACCCAGUGGUCCCCAGGCCUCCCUCCCGCCUGCCUCUAAGUCCCUCCCCUCCACAGGGCUUUGCACACAGCAGCUGUGAAUCAUCCAGCCUCCCUCUGCCCAGCAGGCCUGCCUCCCAGGGACCACAGGUACCUCUGAGAACUCCCAGGGGACCCGGCCAGCCGGGCUGGGCAGCUGAUGGUGGUGGGGGGAGGGGAGAGGUAGACAGGG
This is a long non-coding RNA of Balaenoptera musculus (blue whale), 1170 nucleotides long. RefSeq lists it as uncharacterized. Lineage: Eukaryota; Metazoa; Chordata; Mammalia; Artiodactyla; Balaenopteridae. The record is from RefSeq and is a predicted model, not a curated record. The transcript has 4 exons.